AACGAACGCUGGCGGCAGGCCUAACACAUGCAAGUCGAGCGAACCCUUCGGGGUUAGCGGCGGACGGGUUAGUAACGCGUGGGAACGUGCCCAAAGGUACGGAAUAGCCUCGGGAAACUGAGAGUAAUACCGUAUGUGCCCCUCGGGGAAAGGAUUUAUCGCCUUUGGAUCGGCCCGCGUUGGAUUAGGUAGUUGGUGGGGUAAUGGCCUACCAAGCCGACGAUCCAUAGCUGGUUUGAGAGGAUGAUCAGCAACACUGGGACUGAGACACGGCCCAGACUCCUACGGGAGGCAGCAGUGGGGAAUCUUAGACAAUGGGGGAAACCCUGAUCUAGCCAUGCCGCGUGGACGAUGAAGGCCUUAGGGUUGUAAAGUCCUUUCAGCUGGGAAGAUAAUGACAGUACCAGCAGAAGAAGCCCCGGCUAACUCCGUG
RNAcentral lists this ribosomal RNA (433 nucleotides) under uncultured bacterium. RNAcentral describes it as "bacterial SSU rRNA". It matches the Rfam family "Bacterial small subunit ribosomal RNA", at positions 29 to 507 of the family's 1533-position model. The record is from RNAcentral.